GGGAAAGAUAACAGAGCCAUAAGUGUGAUCCUUGGUGACAGGUGGAAGAAAAUGAAGAAUGAAGAGAGAAGAAUGUACACAUUAGAAGCAAAGGCUUUGGCUGAAGAACAGAAACGUUUAAAUCCUGACUGUUGGAAGAGGAAAAGAACCAAUUCAGUAUGUUUCAAUAAAUAGUGUUUAAAAUUAUCUUGCCUUAUCCGUGCAGGUGUACUGGCAUGUUGGAGCAGUUGUUACAACCUUUAAGAGGUUGUGUUGAUGCUGUCUCUAGCAUUUUUAUACUUCAAAACCUAAUAAUGUUAUCACAUCAUCAUAUAAAGACUGCCUUUCCUCAAGGGUCAUUUACUCUCAUAGCAUGGCAAGUCGAAAUCUCAGGCAAACUUCAAAAGAAUGUUUGUUCUAAACAUUGAGUUGGAAAAAUAAUUUUGGAAUGCAGUGUUUCUAGUUGGGUUGAAAGAUAAGCAUUAUUAAUCCAUUAAUAUCACAGUAGAAAAUUUCUCUAAUAAUUUUGGGAUUGUCUCAACAGCUUUUUUUCCUUAAUUGGUGAGGGACCAAUAAGGCUGGAGGUGUUGGGGUAUGUUAGCUGUCAUUCAUGGGGACUUGUGCCAUUGGCACAGAAUUUCUAGAUUGAAAAAUUUCAAGGAGGAGAAGAAAUAGGCCCAGGAAUGGUGGCAAACAAGUCUAUAUGAUAAGCUAUCUUGGAUAGACUUGUUUCUUAUAACUUUUCCAUUACUAAACUAGCAUCUUUUAGGUUCAGCGUUUUUAGAUUAAUUGCAAAA
Molecule: long non-coding RNA, 776 nt
Filed under: Homo sapiens (human)
Lineage: Eukaryota; Metazoa; Chordata; Mammalia; Primates; Hominidae
Description: long non-coding RNA NONHSAT212507.1
Source: RNAcentral